AAAAAGUAACACCAAUUUUUACUCCUUUCCUCUGACAGAGUGCUUCAGAAGGCAUUUACACUGGCUUGACUCCUCAUGUCCAGGACACAUAUGCGAUAAUUGACACCAAGAAGUGACAAGGAAGGAAAACACAAAACAUUGCUUCAAUUUUUUGUUCGGCUAUGCUUAUUUCAGCUGCCGUUCGGUGUAAUGCAAAUUUGUGAUUAAGAAAAACAAUGUUGUGUUAAUCACUUUUUGAGUAUUUGUUAUUGAUUAUUGUAUUGAGCAGUUACUUAUAACAAGGAAAGACAUGAUUAAAUAGCACCCCCUUUUCCCCCUUGGUGAUUGCAUUAAUCAGUUACUAAUAAAAAGGAAAAAUGUGAUUAAAUGGCA
Long non-coding RNA from Hippocampus comes (tiger tail seahorse), 372 nucleotides. RefSeq lists it as uncharacterized. NCBI's taxonomy places the organism in Eukaryota, Metazoa, Chordata, Actinopteri, Syngnathiformes, Syngnathidae. The record is from RefSeq and is a predicted model, not a curated record. The transcript has 2 exons.